RNAcentral lists this ribosomal RNA (327 nucleotides) under uncultured Gammaproteobacteria bacterium. Its description in RNAcentral is "bacterial SSU rRNA". It matches the Rfam family "Bacterial small subunit ribosomal RNA", at positions 467 to 793 of the family's 1533-position model. The record is from RNAcentral. Lineage: Bacteria; Pseudomonadati; Pseudomonadota; Gammaproteobacteria.
ACUUGACGUUACCCACAGAAGAAGCACCGGCUAAUUUCCUGCCAGCAGCCGCGGUAAUACGAAAGGUGCGAGCGUUAAUCGGAAUUACUGGGCGUAAAGCGCGCGUAGGCGGCUAUUUAAGUCUGAUGUGAAAUCCCCGGGCUCAACCUGGGAAUUGCAUCGGAUACUGGGUAGCUAGAAUGCGGUAGAGGGGGGUGGAAUUCCAGGUGUAGCGGUGAAAUGCGUAAAUAUCUGGAGGAACACCAGUGGCGAAGGCGGCCCCCUGGACUGACAUUGACGCUGAGGUGCGAAAGCGUGGGGAUCAAACAGGAUUAGAUACCCUGGUAG